Molecule: transfer RNA, 72 nt
Organism: Fusarium oxysporum f. sp. cubense
Lineage: Eukaryota; Fungi; Ascomycota; Sordariomycetes; Hypocreales; Nectriaceae
Rfam family: tRNA
About the family: Transfer RNA (tRNA) molecules are approximately 80 nucleotides in length. Their secondary structure includes four short double-helical elements and three loops (D, anti-codon, and T loops).
Source: Rfam
GGUGUGCUGGCGCAAUGGCAGCGCGUUGCUUUCCGGUGGCAAAGGCUCCAGGUUCGAGUCCUGGGUACAUCG